Anolis carolinensis (green anole) is the source of this 6425-nucleotide long non-coding RNA. RefSeq lists it as uncharacterized. The record is from RefSeq and is a predicted model, not a curated record. The transcript has 2 exons. NCBI's taxonomy places the organism in Eukaryota, Metazoa, Chordata, Lepidosauria, Squamata, Anolidae.
UUGCAUAUAAUACCGUAAAUAUGAGUUAGGAAAAGGCUUCAGGGAGAGGACAGCCUCUAAUUUUGCACAAUCUGCCCUUUCUUUGAGGACUUGGGUCACGUGUUUCAAGGUGAGGAAAGUCUGUUCUCAGAAGACAGCAAUGAGCCAUAAUAGAUUGAUUCUACAUGCAGAAACCUGACACACUGACCCAACAACCUUUUGUAAUCAGGAAGUACUGCUAUCAGAAAGGGAAUUGAACUCAGAAGCAGCAGCGGUGUAUGUGUCUAUGCGUGUGUGUGUAAGCGUGUGUGAAUGUAAAUGAGCUUAGCCCUUUUCGUUUCCCAAAUGCCAGACAGGUUUCUCUACAGCAGUGGUUCUCAACCUGUGGGUCCCAAGAUGUUUUUGGCCUACAAGUCCGAGAAAUCCUUGCCAGUUUACCAGCUGUUAGGAUUUCUGAGAGCUGAAGGCCAAAACAUCUGGGGACCAACAGGUUGAGAAACACUGCUCUACAGCCUCCCCUAUGAAGCUCUACACAUGUGGUUGCCUACACUUUGAGCUCCAUAAAAGAACUGCUUGUGGGGCACUUUGAAAAUUGUUUGUUUUUAUAGCAUCUUUAUGCCAGAUUGGUCCAGGUGAUGUAGAAAUGGACAUUUAGGUUCAACUAGGAACCUAAGUGACAAUCCUUGUUAAAUUAUGUGGAACCAGGUGUUAGAUAUAUAUGUAAUGCUACUCUAUUUACAUUACUUUACAUUGCUAGGGAAUACACUUAGUUUGAGUAUAUCAUGGUAAGAUAUGAGGCCGUGGUGGCACUAUGGGUUAAACCCUUGUGCCAGCUGAACUGCUGACCUGAAGGUUGGGGGUUUGAAUCCGCAAGAUGGAGUGAGCUCCUGUCUGUCAGCCCUAGCUUCCCAUGCAGGGACACGAGAGAAGUUUCCCAGCAAGAUGGUAACACACCCAGGUGUCCCUUGGGCAACAUCUUUGUAGAUGGCUGAUUCUCAAACACCAGAAGCAACUUGUCUCAAUUUGCUUCUGGCACUAUUUUAAAAAAAGGUAAGAUACUUCCUAUGAGGUGGAGGGAGGGAAUUACUGCUCUGAAAAGGUAGUAGCAGAGUGAAAACUUUGAAAAGUUAAUUGAUGACCUUUAGGACACCUAAAGAGCUGAAAUACUAUAUUUUUCAGAGAGAGGAAUGCUUUCAUUCACUGUCAGUUUCUAACUUAGAAGUUCCAAGGGGAGAUGCUGAGGUUUUUUUUGUUUUUGUUUUUCCGUGUCAGGAGCAACCGUUAGUUGCAGCACUGGACCUGUAGCUAAGAAUCUCUGGUCUCCUGUAGUUGUUUGAUCUUACCUUUUCGGAGAUUAAGAUCACUUCUGAGGGCCCUUCCAAGCUACACAUUUAUAGCACUAUGACUUCACCUUAACUGACAUGUUGCUCCAUCCUACAGAUUCCAGGCACUGAUAGUUUGGUGAUUCAGUGCUAGAGUAAUACUUAUCAACUUGUGAUCUUCAAAUGGGACAGUCCUGAACUGGUGGCCUUAUUACUAUCCAGAUGUUCAUCAUAAUGAUGACCAAAUCUGUGUGAGCACUUUUGAGGACUCCACAGAUCACUUGGGUUGGUACUGCAGUGUAUUUCUGCAUUUUCUGUUCACAGCCACAAAUCACACACACACAACCACUUCCUCCUUCUCCUCCUUGCCAACAUGAAAGAACUAAAAACAAGAUGUCAUACAAGAAAUCAAUUAUGAAAUCUCCUGGCUUGUCCAUUUCAUCCCACUCUUUCUCUGACCAACAACUUCCCUCUGCUCCCAACAAUUUCUAUAGCUGUUAUUUUAAUGCUUAAGGAAAUGGAAGGGAGAGGAGUUAAACAUGACCAGCAUGGUUUCUUGUUUUAACUGACAUUAAGGAGCCCCUUGUGCUGAAAGGUCAGUGGUUUGAAUCUGAGAAGCGGGGUGAGCUCCCAUCUGUCAGCUCCAGCUUCCCAUGUGGGGACAUGAGAGAAGCCUCCCACAGGAUGGUAAAACAUCUGGGCAUCCCCUGGGCAACGUUCUUGCAGACAGCCAAUUCUCUCACAACAGAAGCCACUUGCAGUUUCUCCUGACACAGAAAAAAAAACUGACAUUCAGUCAACCAACUUAUGGUGACCCUCCGAAUGCAAGAUCUCCAAAUCACCCUUAAAGAAAUUAGUGUGCCACAACAUUUGCUUGUCCUGACACAUAAGCUGUAUUCAGGAUAAGAGAAUAACAUCAGGAUAGAAUACAGAGAAACAGAAUGUUUUCCAGUUGUCAAAGGGGUCAUGCAAGGCUGCAUUUUAUUACCCAGUUUAACUUGUCUGCUGAACACAUCAUACAUCAAGCAGGAUUAGACUAUGAGUGAAUUGCUAUUCCAAUCAAAAUCUGACAUCCUCCCUUGGCAUCAUAUUUCCACUUUCAAAUGUUAACACACCAAAAUCCACUCUUGGCUCUCCAGCAUAACAUAUAUAUUUAUCUCUAAGGAUACACAUUAAUGUAGAUGAGAGUAAAUCCUUGUUAUAGUGAGAAAAAUAAAACUUGCUGUCGAGCAGGUCUGCACAAGAAGCCCAGCAAGUUGAACACAACCUACCAGUAUCUCAAUCCAAUUUUUGCUGCUUGCCUGAUCCUACCUUUUAAAAAGGAGCAUCUAGCAAGGCAGAUGGCAGGCCAGUUGUCUUGUAGGCUGUCUUUCCUUUCAGGGAGCUAAAAAUCUCCUUUUUCUCUAGCAACUAAGUUAAUUAUUUCUCAUUUCCACUUUGCAAAAGUAUUGGCUUUAGCAGUUGUGUUCCCUGAGUAAAAACUGCUUACUUCUUUCAGGAGAAUGACAGUAAGUCAGCAUCUGGCUGAAGUUUUCAUUUGCCAGAUGUCAACUUUCAAACUUGGAUGCUGUUGUUGCUGCCACUGUUGUCAUGAAGGUCAGAAUCUAGUGGCUAGACUGCAGCUGCUCUGGUGUGGCCUUCAACCAAGUGAAUGGCUAAAAGGGAGACCACAGAGAAGAUCCCCUAUUGGAUCUAUUCUAUUUAAUUCACCAUUCUGCUAUCCAGCAUGACCAGCCACAUCACCAUUUGGGAUCAGUAAUUGUUGACAAUGUCCAUGACUGCUGUAGACCCAUGUCAGUUUUAAAGGUGCUUUCCAAGGUGCUGAAUCAAUUUUGGAGCAAGGUACAAUAUCGUGGACAACACCUUUAAACCCCUAAGCCGAUUCAUUAUCCCACUGAUUUAGAACAUUCUUCUUGUUGUGUGCCUUCAUGUCAUUUCCACCAUAUAUCAAUCCUAAGGCAACCUUAUCAUAGGGAUUUCUUAUCAUAGGGAUCCAGGGAAGUCAUGCUCCCCCUCUAUUCUGCCUUGGUCACGCCACACCUGGAAUACUGUGUCUAAUUCUGGGCACCACAAUUGAAGGGAGAUGUUGACAAGCUGAAAAGUGUCCAGAGGAGGGCAACUAAAAUGAUCAAGGGUCUGGAGAACAUGCCCUAUGAGGAGUGGCUUAAAGAACUGGGCAUGUUUAGCCUGCAGAAGAGAAGGCUGAGAGGAGACAUGAUAGCCAUGUACAAAUACGUGAAGUCAUAGGGAGGAGGGAGGAAGCUUGUUUUCUGCUGCCCUGAAGACUAGGACGCGGAACAAUGUCUUCAAACUACAGGAAAGGAGAUUCCACCUGAACAUCAGGAAGAACUUCCUCACUGUGAGGGCUGUUCGGCAGUGGAACUCUCUGCCCCAGACUGUGGUGGAGGCUCCUUCUUUGGAGGCUUUUAAGCAGAGGCUGGAUGACCAUCUGUCGGGGCUGCUUUGAAUGCAAUUUCCUGCUUCUUGGCAGGGGGUUGGACUGGAUGUCCCAUGAGGUCUCUUCCAACUCUACUAUUCUAUGAUUCUAUGAUUCUAUGAUUCUACUCUAGAUGGGAAGCCUACCAUCAGGGCAAGGCAGCUAGUAUGUGUUCCCUAAGUAAUUAAUGUUUAGAUUAGUGGUUCUCAACCUGUGGAUCCCCAGAGGUUUUAGCCUUCAACUCCCAGAAAUCCUAACAGCUGGUAAACUGGCUGGGAUUUCUGGCAGUUGUAGGCCAAAACACCUGGGGACCCUCAGGUUGAGAACCACUGGUUUAGAGCAAUACUGCACCUGUAAGAAGAACAUACAGCCAAUGGAAGCAGAGUCUAUUCUCUUUCGCCAUUGCAUGGGGCAAAAUACGGAAGAGAGCCGCAGGCAUUAUUUCACCCUCCCAAUUAGACACAAGGUCAAGUGCAAGUUAAAACAGGUAAUUUAAUCUCCUUGUCAAGCAAACAAUAUUAAGAUAUAUGUUUAGUAUUUCAGGUAUUGCUGCACAUGAUAUAUUCCACAGUGUGCAGUGCUGUCCUGCUUGUACGUGCUUAGUUGGCUAGCCUUCAAACCAUAAACAUUUAUCCCCCCCACACACACACACACACACAAAAUUAGAAGAAUCUGUAUCAUAUAUGUAUCUGUUACCAGGAAAAAAUGUAAGCUGGUGGAAACGAAAGGGAGUUACCAGAGUGCAUUUCUUUAUUAGAUGGUUAUAUGUGCAGUGACCUUCCCAACCUUGUAUGGGUUCCAGAUCUUGAGGGAGGGGUGCAGACAGAGAUGAGAUAAGCAGCCCUGUAUAAUCCAGCUGUCACCAUUUGCUUUCUCAAAUCAGACUUGCCAAGCAGCUGGGUGUGCCUUACGAAGGAUUUAUGAGAAGCGCCUCAAUAGGGUUGCCUGAUGAGUAUCUUGGGCAUUAUUGUCAGCUUGGUCAAAGGUCGUGGGGUUGGGUAUUUGCUCCAGGCUGAAGGGAACUAACUUCAUUUUGCCUGCAGCCUGAAUAAUUAAUUCCAGGAGAAUGAGAGAAACUGUGAAUUGCCUCUGAUGGAUAUCAAAUUUCACCCAUUAAUUGUAACCGAAUUAAUCUCCAAUGACAACCACACCUUGUUCAGCAUAUAUAAUAGACUGAAAGUACUAUAGAGCCAAUAGGAUGGAGUCAUUCCAUAUUAAAAUAUACAGUAACAAUGUUUACUUUUAACUGCUGUGAUCACCUUUAUUGUGUGGACAAAGAGAUUUUAAAGAUAUGAUUUGAACUAGCUAUUGCAUGUUGAGCAACCUUGAAUAUUUAUAAGGUAAAUGUAAAGGUUUCCCCCUGACAUUAAGUCUAGUCGUGUCCAACUCUGGGGGUUGGUGCUCAUCUCCAUUUCUAAGCCAAAGAGCCGGCGUUGUCCGUAGACACCUCCAAGGUCAUGUGGCCAACAUGACUGCAUGGAGCGCCGUUACCUUCCCGCCGAAGCGGCACCUAUUGACCUACUCACAUUUGCAUGUUUUUGAACUGCUAGGUUGGCAGAAGCUGGGGCUAACAGCGGGAGCUCACCCCACUCCCCUGAUUCAGACAGCAAGUUCAGGAGCUCAGUGGUUUAACCCAAUGCACUACCAGGGGCUCCCUUGAAUACCUAUAGGAGGGAUUACUGAACGAUGGACAAAGCAUGAGGAUGAACGGAUCUGAUUUUAUGUUUGAAACGUAUAUUUUGUAAUUCAUAAUGUAUUUAAAUAGUUUUAACUGUCUUAUGUGCUGUUUUAUAUUGGUUUGUAUGGCCAUCUAAUUGUUGCCACUGUUGUAAGCCGCCCUGAGUCCCUUCGGGUGAGAAGGGCGGGAUAUAAAUGUGAGAAAUAAAAUAAAUAAAUAAAUAAAUUUCUUCUAAAUAAAAGAUAACUCUAUGUAACAAAAUUUGAAAGAAUUCUGUCCCUGGUCUGAAAGUGUUAUUUCCAGUUUAAUUGUGUGGUGAUUACUUUGAAAGUAGUUGUUAUACUCUGGAAAUUUUGGUUUUGCCGCAUCCACAUACUAUGUUGAAUUGGUUGAGACUACAAGAUAUUCAUUAAAAAACGAUAGCAAAAUGUGCUGCAGAGUGUCCCGCAAAAACAAAGUUUUUGCCGUUUAAUAAGCGUUUUCCAUGUUUUUAUGAUAGAACCAAUUAGAAAAUGACAUGUAUAACAAAGGAACAAAAUUGUGUUAAAUAGUAUAACAUGCUUCAUCAUAUCAAACUCAGUAAUGCUACUGUAUGUUAACAUUCAUAAUAAAUCCAUGUUUUUUUCUCCCAUUAAAGCAAAUAAACAAUCUUUCUAGGAGGAGGAGUAGUUGAAAAUUGGGUUGAUCCUUCUGUUAAACAUGUAGAGAAAACACUGUCUCUCCAGUUUCUGUACUCCAACAAAGCACUGCUUUAUUUUUUCAUUGUUUGCACUAAAGAACCAAAAGCCUAGCUAACUACCUGUAUCACAUGUUUACUGAGAAAGCUGGUUGUGAUUCUAAUCAGGAAUUAGUUACUCUUUGUUUUCCUGUAAUCUGUUUUAACAGUGGUUUAAACCAUCUGCAACCACUCUAGGGAAAUAUUUUAGUAGAGGAAUUCCUUUAUUAAGAUGGUGACACUAUUGAUUUUUAUUUUUAAAGAGAAAGAAUUAAAGUCAAUUUUGUAUGGGAA